GUGCUAUUAGGGUGUUUUCAAAGAGGCUUAUCUGAAGUGGGAAGCCCUAACCUGAGUGCGGGCAGCAUCCAUCUACAGCUGAACUGAAACACUAAUUGUGGAUGUAAUAUUACCAGCUUCCUCCUCAUAGCUGAGUCCACAGUUAGUGCUGCACCUGCCAGAAUGACUCCUCCUGCUGUGAUAGACUAGACUCAAGCUUUCUGAAGAAGCCUGAGAUUGUAUUGCUGGCACUGUGACCUAGAUAGUGACCAUUAUGGCUCAUUGUUAGCCUCUUCUCACUGGAUCCUCACAAAGUCAAAACUGGUACCAUGACUGCUAAAUCUCAUACAGAAAUGAGGGGAAAAAAGGAUCUAAGUACGUCAAGAAGAGAUAUGUGUAUAUGGAACUGUUGGGGGAUGACUACUAUCUUUCUUGUGUUCUAUAACUUGCUGAAAUGAACUUAACACUCCCAUGGACUGCUUUAUGUUUAUUCUGCCAGAAUGUCUAGCUGCAUUGUGAAGGACACAGUGCCCCACCAAGGGGAAAAUACCAUGAUCUCUGGUGGGUAACUUCUUAAAAAUUGGAAAGUCUAAUUUUAUAACAGAUGCCUUGGUAUCUUGAAAUAUGUACCCUUAAAACCCAAAGUGGUGUCUCGUUUGUGUGUGUGUCUGAGCAUUAUUUGUAGUCAAUUGCCAGCUUUUCCAAGAUGGAAAAGAUGCACCUCCUCUCUGCUUCCACACCUACUCUCAAGUCUGAAUUUGAUGUGUCUAAAAGGCUGCUGAAGGGUUUUAUUUUAUUUAGAAAAAAAAGAACAUUAAAGGGUCAUAUUAUGAAGUGUGGAAGCACAGGCAUUGGAAUUGAUUAGGUAGUCCUGUCUUACAACCCUGCCUCUGUAUGUUGCCACCACUAACAUUCUCAGCCUCCCUGUGCUGAUCUAAAACAUAGGCACUCUAGUGCCUCCUCCAACACCUUACCUGUUCAUUACUGGCCAUUCACUGAGUAUUUGAUGACAAGCUAUGUUCUAGUCACUAUGUCAGAACUGUGCAGAGGACUAAGUGUGACAAUGUAUUUAAAGAACUUAAUAUUGUGGUAGACUUUGAUAGACAAUUUGGCAAUUUGGUUAAUUCUUUGAGAGGUUCACAUAACUCGUUAUGAUCAUGUUCAUUCCCCUGCAUAAGCCCCUCCCAGAUCUUUUUUCUAUGUCCCUCACAACAGAAUGUUUGUUCAAAACAAUAUGUCUCCGAAGAAAUAUUAGAUUUGCAAAUCUUAUGGCCCUCUGUUUCACUAGAAUCAUAGGUUUUGGUUUUUUUUUUCUGUCAGUGUAUACUUUUUCUCAGGAUAUAUUACACCUGAAUGUGUGGACUCUAAGAACUUGUUGAAGUUAGCGCCAAUUACUGCUUGUACAUACCAUUCCUUUGAUGCAUUUAGUCAUUUAUCUCUUAGCUACAUGAGAGGCAGUGAUAUGGCUAAUUGGAAAUCUAACCAUUUCUGGUAAUAAGGAGUGUCCCACUAGUUUCAUAAUUGCAAUGAUGUAAUACCGUUUUUGUGGGAGGAAAACAUAGUGCAAAUAUUUUCAGCUGAUGAAAGAAUGGUUUAAUUUUGGAGGAGCUUUGCUAGCAUAAGUAAGUUGUCUAGAGCGUGCACACUUUGUUGGUGAGCUAUAUUAGGCGAAUUGGUGAGAUAUUUGCAUUCACGUUAAUAGGAUUGAAUAACUAUUCUUAUCCAUUCACGUCUAUUGGACUUUUUAAAGUUGUCAUCAUUCUCUUGCAAGGGAGUUCUAUUUUAGUUUCAAUUUUCAAAAGAAUACCUAAGAGACCAAGACAAUUCCUCACUGCAAAAGACACAGUGCAUAUUCCUUUGCCCUGCUUCUUUGCUCUACAGUGGUUGUGAAAUUCUUAAAGCAUCUAGGAGCAAACUUACAGUAAUCCCAGCUUAAAAACCAAAAAACAACAAAACAAACCGAACCACAAAUCCUUCCUACUUUGACUCACAAGCUGAGUAACUGGAUUAAUUGGAAACAUUGCAUGCGAACUGGGAUUCUGGAUCUUUAAAGUAAACUAGCAUUCAGCAAGCUUAUUAGGAUAAUUCGGUGUAAUCUGGCUAAGUAAUUUGUUAAUUUGUUAAUUAAUAAUAUUAACAAAUAAUUAGAAUUCUUGUUUUGAAUCACAUUAGGACCUAACACAUAAGCUUCCCCACGUUUCUAGACCCUGUGUUUUUAAAAGCUCCACUCCUUAGGAAUUUCUGAUGUUCUCACCUUGUUGAGGAGUGAGAAGCUGAGAGGUGUCUUCUCUUAAUGGUAUGUUUAUAAUUCCCUAUGAAUUCUUGUUGUAAGAUUAAUCUUUUUCAGGAAUCAUCUCAGAACACACUUGUCAGGAAGGUUGCAUUGAUUCCUAAAUAUUGCAGAAAUUAUAACCCUAGGAGUUAGACAUUUUAACAGCAGGCAGAUCACAUGUUUUCAAAGAUGGAAGAUUACAAAAAUAGCCUGCAAAGGAACUCUUAAGAACAAAGAAUGAGAAGGAAUAAAAAAAUAAAUGAAAUUUAAAUGACAUGUUUGCUUUUGUUUUUAUUUUUGUUUUGUCUCGUCUUUGACAGAGAAUUUCUGACUAGUCGUUCUGAAAGCAGAAAGGUACUCGCGAGUACUAAAGUGCCCACUCGUCUGGUCCUCUACAUCCGGGUGUAUCCCAGUUCACUUUGAUGGUAGCUACCUACUAUGGCUUGGAAAUCAUUUUGGAUGCCUGCAAAGGUCCAUAAUUGAAGGCAUGGUCCCCAAGAUGUCACUAUGGGGAAGGUAGAACUUUGGAGAUGUGUGAAAGUGAAUGUCUGAGCAGAUGCUAUUGCAGUAUGUUGUGGCUCCCCACAGAGCUCUUUCAGCUAUGGUUUGAGAUGCAAGCAUUUGCACGCUCUAACAAGCACUUCUUUCAUCACUAUUUGCUAACCUCUGGAAGUACCUGAGGUACCAGAGUAGACACUGUUCUUUUGUCUUCCUGAACUUCCAAAUUUUUAAGUGAAAUAAACAUUGUUUCUCCAUAAACUUGCUGCAGCAACACAGAGAGCUAACACACGAUCAAUCAAUAUUUACUAAUACACAGGGACUUCACACACAGAAAUAUUCUCAAACAUAAAGUGAUGAUCACAGAAAGUCCAUGAGGUAAUUAUCAAGAAAAAUAUAUAAUUUCUACAUGUUAGAUAUUUAUAUGAGAGAAAAUCUGCUGGUUUCUUUCUUCAAAACUUUCUAAUCUUAACAAAUAUUCUGAAAUCC
Molecule: long non-coding RNA, 3238 nt
Filed under: Mus pahari (shrew mouse)
Lineage: Eukaryota; Metazoa; Chordata; Mammalia; Rodentia; Muridae
Description: predicted gene, 37971 (MGP_PahariEiJ_G0005730.1)
Source: RNAcentral